This 1395-nucleotide non-coding RNA is filed under the name Gloeochaete wittrockiana. RNAcentral's name for it is "SSU rRNA". It matches the Rfam family "Bacterial small subunit ribosomal RNA". Lineage: Eukaryota; Glaucocystophyceae; Gloeochaetales; Gloeochaetaceae. The record is from RNAcentral.
UAGUAAGAGCUUGAUCCUGGCUCAGAAUGAACGCUGGUAAUAUGCUUAACACAUGCGAGUCAAAUUUUAUUUGGCGCUCGGGUGAGUAAUAAACAGGUAAUCUACCUUUUGUAAAAAAGAUGAGCUUGUUUAAGAUUAGAUAGUUGGUGGGGUAAAGGCUUACCAAGUCAAGGAUCUUUAGUCGGUCUGAGAGGAUGAUCGGCCACAUUGGGACUGAAAGACGGCCCAAACUCCAAUUGGAGGCAGCAGUGGGGAAUAUUGGACAAUGGGCGAAAGCCUGAUCCAGCAAUAUUACGUGAGUGAUGAAGGUUUAUUGGCUGUAAAACUCUUUUAAUUGUUGAAAUAAUGAUAUAUACAAUUGAAUAAGUCCCGGCUAAUUCCGUGCCAGCAGCCGCGGUAAUACGGGGGGGACAAGUGUUAUUCAGAAUAACUGGGCGUAAAGGGCAUGUAGGUGGCUAAGUAUAUAUCAAGGGAGUAAAAUUAAAGCUUAACUUUGAUUUCUUUUGGUUAUUUUAGCUUGAGUUUUUUAGAGGAUUGCGGAAUUUUGCAUGGAGCGAUAAAAUGCGUUGAUAUGCAAAAGAACACCAAUGGCGAAGGCAGCAAUCUGGGAAAUAACUGACGUUGAGAUGCGAAAGCAUGGGGAGCAAACAGGAUUAGAGACCCUGGUAGUCCAUGCUGUAAACGAUGAGUAUUCGUUUUUGGUAUUUUAUCAGAAACUUAGCUAACGCGUUAAAUACUCCGCCUGAGAAGUACGACCGCAAGGUUGAAAUUCAAAGGAAUUGACGGGGAUCCGCACAAGCGGUGGAGCAUGUGGUUUAAUUCGAUACAGCGCGAGAAACCUUACCAAUUUUUGCAUAUAAAAUAUAAAACUUGUGUUACGCGAGUUGUCAUUUAAAAAAAUGAAAAUUUUAUACAGGUGCUGCAUGGCUGUCGUCAGCUCGUGUUGUGAGAUGUUUGAUUAAGUUCUUGAAACGAGCGCAACCCUCGAUAAUUUGCUUAUAAAAGUAAUAUGAACUGCCAAUGAUAAGUUGGAGGAAGGAGAGGAUGACGUCAAGUCCGCAUGGCCCUUAUAAAUUGGGCUACACACGUGCUACAAUGGAUACUACAAAAGGUAGCAAUUAUGUUAAGUAGGAGCGAGUCCUAAAAAGUAUCCUUAGUUCGGAUUGUUCUUUGAAACUCAAGAACAUGAAGUUGGAAUCGCUAGUAAUCGUGAAUUAGCAUGUCACGGUGAAAUGUUUUCCGGAUCUUGUACACACCGCCCGUCACGCGCUGGAAAUUAUUAUUUCUUGAAGAUUAAUUCACUAAAAUGAAUUUGUCGAGGGAAAUAUUAGUAACUGGGGUGAAGUCGUAACAAGGUAGCCGUAGGGGAACCUGUGGCUGAAGUAAUAAACUUGG